Molecule: ribosomal RNA, 484 nt
Filed under: uncultured bacterium
Lineage: Bacteria
Description: partial 16S ribosomal RNA
Rfam family: Bacterial small subunit ribosomal RNA
Source: RNAcentral
AUUGAACGCUGGCGGAAUGCUUUACACAUGCAAGUCGAACGGCAGCACGGGGGCAGCCCUGGUGGCGAGUGGCGAACGGGUGAGUAAUACAUCGGAACGUGCCCGGUCGUGGGGGAUAAUGUAGCGAAAGUUACGCUAAUACCGCAUACGAUCUGAGGAUGAAAGCGGGGGACCUUCGGGCCUCGCGCGAUCGGAGCGGCCGAUGUCAGAUUAGGUAGUUGGUGGGGUAAAGGCCUACCAAGCCGACGAUCUGUAGCUGGUCUGAGAGGACGACCAGCCACACUGGGACUGAGACACGGCCCAGACUCCUACGGGAGGCAGCAGUGGGGAAUUUUGGACAAUGGGCGCAAGCCUGAUCCAGCCAUUCCGCGUGCAGGACGAAGGCCUUCGGGCUGUAAACUGCUUUUGUACGGAACGAAAAGGCUCUGGCUAAUACCUGGGGCUCAUGACGGUACCGUAAGAAUAAGCACCGGCUAACUACGUG